This 122-nucleotide ribosomal RNA is filed under the name Jaculus jaculus (lesser Egyptian jerboa). Lineage: Eukaryota; Metazoa; Chordata; Mammalia; Rodentia; Dipodidae. The record is from RNAcentral.
GUGUGUGGCCACACUGCCCUGAAUGUGCCCCAUCUGGUCUGAUCUCAGCAUCUAAGCAGGGCCUGGCCGGCUUAGUGCUUGUAGGGGAGACUAGCAUAGGCAGCAAAUGGGUGCCACCAUCU